UCCUACGGGAGGCAGCAGUAAGGAAUAUUCCACAAUGAGCGAAAGCCUGAUGGAGCGACACAGAAUGCAGGAUGAAGUCUUUAGGGAUGUAAACUGCUGUUGUAAGGGAAGAAAAAACUAGAUAGGAAAUGAUUUAGUCUUGACGGUACCUUAUUAGAAAGUGACGGCAAACUAUGUGCCAGCAGCCGCGGUAAUACAUAGGUCGCAAGCGUUAUCCGGAAUUAUUGGGCGUAAAGCGUCCGCAGGUUUUUUGUUAAGCUUAAGGUUAAAUGCUAAAGCUCAACUUUAGUUCGCUUUAGAUACUGACAAAAUAGAAUUAUGAAGAGGUUAGCGGAAUUCCUAGUGGAGCGGUGGAAUGCGUAGAUAUUAGGAAGAACACCAAUAGGCGAAGGCAGCUAACUGGUCAUAUAUUGACACUAAUGGACGAAAGCGUGGGGAGCAAACAGGAUUAGAUACCCUGGUAGUCC
RNAcentral lists this ribosomal RNA (467 nucleotides) under uncultured bacterium. RNAcentral's name for it is "bacterial SSU rRNA". It matches the Rfam family "Bacterial small subunit ribosomal RNA", at positions 337 to 796 of the family's 1533-position model. The record is from RNAcentral.